This 253-nucleotide ribosomal RNA is filed under the name uncultured bacterium. RNAcentral describes it as "partial 16S ribosomal RNA". It matches the Rfam family "Bacterial small subunit ribosomal RNA", at positions 524 to 776 of the family's 1533-position model. The record is from RNAcentral.
UACGUAUGGUGCAAGCGUUAUCCGGAAUUACUGGGUGUAAAGGGAGCGCAGGCGGCACGGCAAGCCUGAUGUGAAAGCCCGCGGCCCAACCGCGGGACUGCAUUGGGAACUACCGGGCUGGAGUGCCGGAGAGGUAGGCGGAAUUCCUAGUGUAGCGGUGAAAUGCGUAGAUAUUAGGAGGAACACCAGUGGCGAAGGCGGCCUACUGGACGGUGACUGACGCUGAGGCUCGAAAGCGUGGGGAGCAAACAGG